This 1463-nucleotide long non-coding RNA is filed under the name Callithrix jacchus (white-tufted-ear marmoset). RNAcentral's name for it is "lncRNA (ENSCJAG00000075007.1)". The record is from RNAcentral. Lineage: Eukaryota; Metazoa; Chordata; Mammalia; Primates; Cebidae.
CACAAACACUGAAUUUUAAUUUUAUCCCCACAAUUUAUUUUUUAUAUAACCAUUAUUAUGCACUAAGCAUUAUAAUCCUAGUUUUCCCAUCUCAAAAUUCAAGGUCUGUUAUCUAUCAUGGAAGAUGAUUUUAAUGAUUAAGGAUGAUCAUUGAUUUAUUCAUUCAGUCACUCAUGCAUCAUCCAUUCAAUAAAUAUGAUCUGAGGGUUUACUAAAUACUGAGUAUUCUGUCAAUCAUUGUAAAUGAUAGAGGUGACAGUGCUUUCAUUCCUAUUCACAGGGAGUGCACAAUCUACUGGGAGGGAGUUAAGUGCAUAAUUAACUGUGUGAUGAUUGCUGAUAGGAUUACGUGCAGAAGCUGCAGGAACAUUAAGGAGUGAAGGGGAGGCUGGACAUCUAACAUUGGUUGUGUUGAGUUGUGGAAAGUGCAUAAAGGAAUCAAGAUACUUUGUUUUCUGAGGAAGGGAAAACUAAUCAUUGACUUGAUGAAUAAAUAAGAGUGAGCCAAAUGUGGCGGGUCUGGGGCAGUGGGGGAAGACUGGUGUACUAUUUCUGCAGAUACACACCUUGGACAAAGUUUGAAAUGCUAAUAAGUGCUCAGUAUUUUGAAUAUCUUUGAUUCUAAAUAAAACAACCAAAAAUUCCAAUUUGACCUUAAAACAUGCCUUUGGUUGUAUGUAACCAAAGCUAUUACUUUUCAGUGUUUAACACUGACUCUUCACAGCUUCCCAGACACAGAGAAUAUCCUUUGAAGUGCACAGAAGAUUAGAUCCUGUGGGGACAGGACUUUCUGAACAUUGCGAGAUUAAUUUACACCGCUACAAAAUAAAAUUAGCCUGCUGCUAAUCAAAGUUCCAAUUCCUGUUUUCCAGGGCAUUUCACAGGAGGAUUUUCCCUAUGGAAAAAAAAGUAAAAGAUAAUAGGAAAAUCACUCCUUUGCGACUUUGGGAUGAAACAAACAACGGAGUUGUUCUCUGGUGGGAAGGUUAGCAGGCUGUCAUUGAUGCAACUCCACAGAGGGAAAGAAGGUCUACUGUAUAUGCACGUGCAACAAAACAGUAGAAAUCUCAGUUUAUGACAACUGGAGCACCUGAUUAAAACGUCUGGAAGAGGCAGCUUCCGUGGGAGUGAGGUGAGCACUGCAGAGUCACAUCUUUGUGCUUUCAGUUUUCCUAUCUCUGUCAAUACUUUGCUCUGCACUUGUGUUUCCCACUAUGUCUUUACUGAUGAUAACUUCAUUGUCAUGAUGAUGCCACAGGUCACAGAUACCCCCUUCCCAUCCUCCCACCAGCAAGAGGUGCUUUGUGUGUUUCUAAAUAUACCGGCAUCCUAACCCCAGAAUCCCACUUUGAUUAAGAUGCUGGCAUAUUUAGAAACACACAAAUAGCCUCUUCUUGGUGGGAGGAUGGAAAGGGGCUAUCUGUGACUUAUAGUAUCAUCAUGAUUUUGAGGAUUUCUUUGCU